RNAcentral lists this ribosomal RNA (397 nucleotides) under uncultured bacterium. Its description in RNAcentral is "bacterial SSU rRNA". It matches the Rfam family "Bacterial small subunit ribosomal RNA", at positions 362 to 758 of the family's 1533-position model. The record is from RNAcentral.
UAUUGGUCAAUGGAGGCAACUCUGAACCAGCCAUGCCGCGUGCAGGAUGACGGUCCUAUGGAUUGUAAACUGCUUUUGUACGGGAAGAAAUGUAAUUACGUGUAAUUAUUUGACGGUACCGUAAGAAUAAGGAUCGGCUAACUCCGUGCCAGCAGCCGCGGUAAUACGGAGGAUCCGAGCGUUAUCCGGAAUUAUUGGGUUUAAAGGGUUCGUAGGCGGUUUAGUAAGUCAGUGGUGAAAUCUUAUAGCUUAACUAUAAAAUUGCCGUUGAUACUGCUAGACUUGAAUAGUAUGGAAGUGAUUAGAAUAUGUAGUGUAGCGGUGAAAUGCUUAGAUAUUACAUGGAAUACCAAUUGCGAAGGCAGAUUACUACGUGCUUAUUGACGCGAGAACGAGU